This 7067-nucleotide long non-coding RNA is filed under the name Gossypium raimondii (Peruvian cotton). RNAcentral describes it as "long non-coding RNA (GRAI_LNC000175)". Lineage: Eukaryota; Viridiplantae; Streptophyta; Magnoliopsida; Malvales; Malvaceae. The record is from RNAcentral.
GUGCUUCUGGUAUUCCUUGGUCUACCUUUGAACCUAAUCUAAGUUCAAACGGGAAGGUAAUCGACAUAACCCCCGGUCUUAGUGCUUUCCUAACUUGUGCUGUGAAAAAGCUUACCUUCUCAAAGAAGAAGCUGGAACCACUGCAAUUGUCACCUAAAAAGGAGAACCUCGAUUAUCUGGUUAACUUAGUGAAAGGCGGGAAGCUUAAGACGGUAAUCGAUUCAAAGUAUCCCCUAAGUAAGGCUGAGGAAGCAUGGGCUAAGAGCAUUGAUGGGCAUGCCACUGGUAAGAUCAUUGUGGAGCCUUAAUCUAUGAAAUAUUACUUUUUACUUACUACAGUGAUGCUUGGAGUUGGAGGUCAUGCUGCUUGUGUGUAUAAUUGGGAUUUGUGUAUUUUAAAAAUUAUGUGUAUGAAAUGUAUGGUUAAUAUACACAUUGGAUGACAUUGCAAAAUUUUCUUAAUGUGUUAUAAGCUUUGUUUUCACAAAUUUAGCUCUUGUUUUAUGUGUUUCUUACUUUUCCUUCGGACUUAUAUGUAUUUUUUUUCAUGUCUAUUUUAUAAUUUAUGUUCGGAGUUAAUAGCCUUUUUUUCUAAUAAUGUCGAUUUUAAGAUUAAAAAUACUUGUUGAAAUUUGUAUAGCUUUUCAUUGGUUGCAUAUUUUGAAAUUUUUUAAAAUUAAAGUUUUACUUAUAAAUUAAAUAUCUUGUUAAUAAUAUCUAUUAUAUAUUAUAUUUGAAAGUUUAUUGAGCAAAUAUUUUAUGAAUUAUAUUUUGUUAAAAAAUAUUUAAAAUUUAUUAAAUUACUUUUUUCAAUUAUUUAUUGUAACACAUUGAUUUUAAUUUUUAUAGGAUGUAGUAAAAAAUAAAAAAAAUUAAUUAUAUAAAUAAGUGUGACACUUAUCGCACCCUUAACCCACUUGUAAAGUAUAAAAAAUUUCAUUCGCGAUGUAUCAAAUAAUUACCCAUUAUUUUUUUUAUCAUUUUCAAUUAUAUUGACCUUUGAUUAACUUAUAACAUCAAUUUAUUCAUCAGUCCAAAUAAUAUCCUCAACGUACUUCACAAAUAAUGUAUGGAAUAAUUUUCCUUUGAAAUAUUUUUUCUAAACCUUGCGAACAUAUCUGUAUAUCUAUUACCUUCUUUACUGUUUGAACCGAUGAAGGGGAAUCUUGCUUAUCACACCAACUGAAUUAUCUUUUCAAUUUGAUUUCUUUAACCUUCACGAUGAUAAUUUAUUGGUUAAAUCUAUUAUUAGUCUAUAUAUUAUGCGUAAGUUAUAGAUUUAGGAUCCUUUUGGAUGGAAGUUUUUUUUAGUACGGUGCGUUUGGCUUUUUUUUGGUCUCAUAUUACCGUAUCAAAUCUUACUACUACUGCUGUUUUUACACUAACUGUAGGUAAACGCACCUUAAUCUCUAUACUUCAAUUUGGUAAAUUUUAAUCCAUGAACUUUUUGAAUUGGUCAAUUUUAAGUACUUUCCAAGUUUUAAAACUUUAGCCAGAACCCAAAUGGUAGCAACUAAAUUUGUUUUGGUUAAAAUCUACUAUUAGUUAUAUAUUUUGCGUAAUGUUUUAAAUUUAGCCCAUAAGCUCCUAUUCGAUUAUUGUUAAUCCUUAUAUUUUUCAAAAUUCAAAAUUUCAAUACUGACACAAAUAACAACUGCUAAAUCCAGUAAUUGAUUCUUUUGUGAGUAGCAUGUUAAAAUAAUAAGUUAACAUGUACAUAAUAUAUUUGCUGCAUAAUAUUUUGAAAAUAGUAUAACAUAUUAAAUCUAAUAGUUACCAUUUAGUUAAGAUUUUGAAAAAUACAUGUUUAAAUUUAACUAAAUUAAAGUAUAGAAACUAAACACACAACUUAUACCUAGUACAAAAGUUAAUAAUGAAAAUUAAUCUAAACUAUUAAAAACUAUUAAAUUUUGUCACACAUAUAAUAUGGGUGAAAAUGCAUGUAACAAAUUUAAAAAAAAUGAAAAAAAUUUGAUAUGAUAACAAAAAAUGGAGUUAGAAAAUUAAAAAACAUCAUAUUUUACGUUGAUGUCUCAUUAUGUCUAUCUAUUUUUCUACAUUUUAUAUAAAAAAAUAAAAUUACCCUUAAAAUUAUUUCUAUUACUAAUUAAAAUAAUAAAUUUUUGAUAAAUACACUCUUUAAAUUGAUGGGUGUCGAACCCAUCAAAAAUAAUUCCUACAAAAUAACUCUAAAUAGUAGUAAAGAGUGGUAGUAGGGCUGAGUCUACAAGGAUUGGAUGUUAUAAUCAACUUCCAUAUUUAACUUGUGAUCAUAAUUUUUGUCGUAUUGAAAGUAGUGGCAAAAGUCAUGCCCACGACUCCAAACGGGCCAGCUGAAAAAUAAACAAAUAAAUCAGGGAGUUUUGAAAUGUUUAGAAACUAAAUAAUUGAAAUAGCAUAAAUAAAAAAUUAAAUAAAUUAGAAAUUAAAUUAGAAAUUAAACUCGGAUUUGGUAAUCAAAGAUAAAUAAGCCUUAGCCCUAGACUCGGUGGACUCCGGAUUUUUUAAUCGAUCAUUGAAAAUUAAUUUUCUCCUCCAAAUAAUAAGCUGGUUAUAGCAGUUAAGAACAUCCUAACCACCAAUUCUUCCUAUUGUAGCUAGUCCCGGUACGACCUGCAAACCAACCCUUACCGAUUAUCUAAUCGAAUACACGUGUUCCCGAUUCAAGAUUCCAGCGGCCUUGCGCUCUGAAGAACCCAACUCGAAUUAACGGCCUCAACCGCGUGGAUCGUUUAAACCCGAUCACUUCUUCCUUGACUUGUUCUCGAAGAUUCGAAUACAGCACGGCCGACUCGUUUCUCCAAUUGUCAGCAAACAUGACUCCAACCCAACGUGCACUUUUUGACUUGAAAUCGAGUUAACUUUAAGGGAUGAGUUGUCAAUCCCGAUAGUUAGGAAAAAUGUGAAUACCGAUUAGAAAGAUUUUUAGUACGGAUACGUAUCUCACGAUUCCCAACCAGAAAGAACACCGACCUAAAGCUAAGAUGGAAUUUAGUGAAGCAUGGAUUUAAUCAUGUUUUGGUUGGCUAUGAUUGGAUUUGAAUGAAAGAUGGUGGAAAUUGGGAAAGGAAAGGACUUGGAGGACAAUUAGACAAAUUUUGAAAGAACAAAGAAUUGGAAAUGAAGUAAUUAACAGAAUGUUACGCACCAAAUUUGAGAAAAGAAAACAAUUCUAUUCAAUUCCAAAUUGAAAUCAAAAUGUGAAAUUAAAUGUGUCUUUUCUAAGUACAUUAAAGCCAUAGUAUUUAUUAAUUUUGGCUUUAACUACUUCAACAUAUAAUUAAAAUUAAAUAAAAAAUAAAAUAAGAUUUUUUCUGUUUUUGGCUUUUACAAAGUUAAAAAAAUUUGAUGAGCCAUUGGCUUUCUCCACAUUUUUGAUUCAGCCUCAUUUCAUUAAUUGUGUUUUAAUUUGGUCCUUUUCUGCUCGUUUUUUUCUCUUAGCGUUCCAAUUGCAUCCCUGAUAAGAUUAAAACAUAAAAACACUAAUUUAACAAGGAUCAAUUCAGAAAUAAACUGAAUUAAAGACAAAAUGUCAUACAAAUUAACAUGUUAUCAUAAAAUAGUGGAGUAAUAAAAAAUAGAUAGAUGAUAUAUUCACUCCUAAGUCUUUCCUCAAUCCAUAAAUAAGAGGAUAACGUGUGUUAGCGUACUCGAACUUACAUUCUCUUGUAUUAAUAAUAAUGUUUAUAUCCAUCAAGCUAAAACUUUAUCAACUCCACUCCCGAGUUUAUAGUAUAUUAGAGACUUAAAUAUGGUAACAGAUAAUAGAUAAUUAUUUUCCAACCUACCAAAUUAAACAUUUCGAGAGAUUUCUUGCAAAAUCAUCGAGGGUAUAUCCGUCAACUCAACAAUGUGGUCCCAUUUGUUUAAAUGGUUAUGGCUAGCAGUUAACAAUACAAAUCUCCACCUACGGUAUCCUCCGCCAUUCUCUGAACUUCAUUUUUCCUUCAAAAAAAAAAACAAAAAAAACUUCGAUUUUAUCUCUUUUAAUGAAAAAAAUGGCUGAAAAUCUUAUGCAUGCUUUACAAUAUAACAGCUACGGCGGAGGCGCUGCUGGUUUGAAGGUAAAUAUCUACUUUCUUAUGAUGAUUUAUUUUGCUUUCCGUAGUGUUUUGUCGCAUAUAUAAUUUUGUUUAGUUGAGAUAUUAAUUCGUUUUUUAAGUGAAGAUUUCAAUUAAGGUUGUUAAUAUAGUGUUUAUAUUGAUCUAAGUUUGCUCUUUGGAUUCAAAAUACUAUCAGUUAAAUUUGUGAUUGAAAAGCAUGAAGAUGAUUUCAGUGAGUGCCGUGAGUUACUAUGGAAGUGGAAUUUUCUGGAACGGGAAUGAACUAGGGAUUUGCUAUUCGGAAUUAAAAUUUCAAAAAAAGGAUCUGAGAUUGAGAGGAUGGCUUGAUAGUUAAAUGUUGAGCCAUUUUAUCGUCGGAUUCAAAAUUUUAUUUGUUAAGUUUGUGAUUGAAAGCAUAUAGAUAAUUUGAAUGAGUGCUGCGAGGCAGUAGGAUAGUGGAAUUUUCUGGAAUGGGAGUAAAUUAAGGAUUUGCUCAUUUGAAGAGAUCUGAGACUGAGGCUGAUACUUGACAGUGAAGUUGAGUGUUUAAAUUUUUUAUAUGGACUUGCUUGAUAUAAACUUGAAAAACUAAUAGCCAGCGACUUCAUGUCAUAACAGCUUUGAAUUUUUUUGUGCUUGUUACAGCAUGUUGAAGUUCCGAUCCCCACUCCAAAUAAAGGUGAAAUUUUGCUUAAACUGGAGGCAACUAGUCUAAACCCGGUUGACUGGAAAAUACAGAAAGGGAUGCUGCGCCCAUUUUUACCUAGAAAAUUCCCCUACAUACCUGGUAGUUUAUUUGUCAUCCUUUCACGACUGUUUUGGUCUUGAAAUAUUAUCGAGACUCUUUUUUUUUACUUGGUUAGUGGUAUUUGUGUUUAAUUUACACUAUCUGUUAAGUAUCUCAAGUUACAUCAGUCUUCAAUAUCUGGGUUUGUUGUAGUACCAUGUCAAAUUCCCAAGCAGUAUUCAACUUGGAAUCUAAUUUGCUUCGAUUUACAUUGUGAAGUUUGCUUUAGUAGUAACAAUUGAUGGAAGAAAUGUGCAUUUGUUAACUCAAGUUUUUAUUAAAGGACAGAAUUUGUCUAUUUGUUAAGGCAUAUCUUUUUCUAUAAUUAACCAACAUAAUAAUAGGCUGGUUGGUAGGUCUCUUAGUUUAAGCAGUUAUGGUUAUUUGAUGUUAAUUUUUGGCAUCCUAUUGUCAUGGAAGAUUUGAUAUCUCAAACGAAAGUUGCCUAUAUACCAUUUGCAAAUUAUAUUAAAGAACCCAUCAUCAGUAAGCUUUGUAGUUUUCUCUCUGUCUAUAUUUGGAUUGCCGCAUUUUAAGCAUUGGUCAAAGAUAUUUUUUUCAUGUGCAGCUACUGAUGUAGCGGGAGAAGUCGUAAAAGUUGGACCGGGAGUCACAAAUUACAAAGCUGGGGAUAAAGUUGUGUCUAUGCUCCAUCAUUUUGUAAGUUCUCAUUCUCAUUCUUAAUCCUUCCCCCCACCCCCCACCCCCCACCUGAAAAAAUAAUCAGCAUAAAAGCUCUGGCCCUUAGGCUCUCAACUGGCAUGUCAUUAAUCAUUCUGAGAACAAUCAGAAAGGAGAUUUCUUCAUGAAGAGUGGAAGAAUCACCAGCAUUUUACUAGCUUAAUAGAUCACAAUUUGAAAAAUUGUUAAUGAUAUUUGUGUUUUUGGUACUAGCUCAAGCAAUUAAUUGGGCACCGAGCUUGGUAGGACUUUAGGCAACAAUUCUUGAGGUAAAAUAUGGAUCUUCUUAUGGCCAAAAAAUCAACUUCAGAAUCCAACAAUGACAGAACAACGUAAAUUGUAGCCCCAUAAAAAGGAUUUUUAUGGACUGGUUCUACACUUUUUGUUCUAAAUAAACCAUGUUGAUCUUCCAAUGAGUGAUCUUGAUUAGCUCUAGUUAUGAGAACUGGUUAGCAUUGGCCUGCUUGCCUGAUUAGAUUAAUCAAAGUAAAUUAAAGCUGUCAUCCCCAGAAUUUGAAAUCCUGAAAGCUUUUGGCUUUCUUUAUUUUGCUUGUAUUGAUAGUGAUGCUAGAGAAAUAUAGUAUAUUCAAUGUUUCACUGGCCUUAUUACAACUAUAGGAUUAUCCUGAGACCCCAGAUCUUAUUACUGCUACUUUUCAUAUCGAGUCGUAUCGUGUUUAGAAUGCAAAAACUAUCUAUGUGGAUAUCAUUUCUGAGGUAGUGAUUUUAGUCUCAUCAUGUGGCCAUUUGGCUGAGAGAAACCUAGAUAUCAUUACUGCAGGCCAGUGGUUCAGUGAAUUCAUCUUCUAUUCGUAUUAUCAAUGAAUCAGUUAUGUCGAUUGCUAUGCUAUCUUCUAUUAUGAAUUAUUUGCAAUGAUAGACUGGAGGUGGACUAGCUGAAUAUGCUGUGGCUAAGGAGAAUCUGACUGUUGCAAGGCCACCAGAAGUAUCAGCUGCUGAAGGUGCAGGUUUGCCUGUUGCUGGUCUUACAGCUCACCAGGCACUCACACAGUCGGCUGGGGUCAAGCUUGAUGGAAGUGGCCAGCAAGUAAACCUCUUGAUUACUGCUGCUUCAGGUGGUGUAGGUCAAUAUGCAGUUCAACUAGCAAAGCUUGGAAACACCCAUGUGACAGCCACUUGUGGGGCUCGCAAUCUGGAUUUCGUCAAAAGCCUCGGAGCAGAUGAGGUUCUUGACUACAAAACUCCCGACGGUGCAGCUCUAAAAAGCCCUUCGGGUCGCAAAUAUGAUGCAGUGAUCCACUGUGCAAUGGGCAUUCCUUGGUCUACCUUUGAACCUAAUCUAAGUUCAAACGGGAAGGUAAUCGAUAUAACCCCAGGUCCUAGUGCUCUGCUAACUUUUGCUAUGAAAAAGCUUACCUUCUCAAAGAAGAACCUGGUACCACUGCUAUUGUCACCUAAGAAGGAGAACCUCGAAUAUCUAAUUAACUUAGUGAAAGAGAAGAAGCUUAAGACGGUAAUUGAUUCAAAGCAUCCCUUAAGUAAGGCUGAAGAAGCAUGGGCUAAGAGCAUUGAUGGCCAUGCCACUGGUAAGAUCA